CACACGUUGGACGGCAAGGGCGUGUGGCUGUCCCAACCCUGGGAGCAGGGCUGCUCCUCAAGGCAGCAUGGCCUCACCUGCCCUUGCUGACAGGCCGGCUGACCCCUCUGACGCCUUCCAGCAGCGUUUCCAGUGCUUUUCUUUCUUCCCAGGAAGAUACUGGGCCAGCGCCAUCAGGGGUGGCUCAUCGGUCGUCGUGGUGGUCUCACGUGUCUCCUGUGCUUUUUGACGCCAGCUGGGACUUCCCGGUCACGGGUGGAAGCAACGGUUUCUCAGGAUUUCGCUACAAGGAUCGUCUCAGCCUUCUUGGACUGCCGUGCGGAACACCACACACCCAGCAGCUAAAAUAAUGACAUUGAGAUCCGGGUGCCAGCAGGACAAGCUCCAUGAGG
RNAcentral lists this long non-coding RNA (392 nucleotides) under Homo sapiens (human). The record is from RNAcentral. Lineage: Eukaryota; Metazoa; Chordata; Mammalia; Primates; Hominidae.